This 468-nucleotide ribosomal RNA is filed under the name uncultured bacterium. RNAcentral's name for it is "partial 16S ribosomal RNA". It matches the Rfam family "Bacterial small subunit ribosomal RNA", at positions 28 to 507 of the family's 1533-position model. The record is from RNAcentral.
GACGAACGCUGGCGGCGUGCUUAACACAUGCAAGUCGAACGGAAAGGCCCUGCUUUUGUGGGGUGUUCGAUUGGCGAACGGGUGAGUAACACGUGAGUAACCUGCCCUUGACUUUGGGAUAACUUCAGGAAACUGAGGCUAAUACCGGAUAGGAGCUCCUGCUGCAUGGUGUGGGUUGGAAAGUUUCGGCGUUUUGGGAUGGACUAGCGUCUUAUCAGCUUGUUGGUGGGGUAGGGGCUUGCCGUGGCGUUGGAGGGUAGCCUGCCUGAGAAGGUGGCCGGCCACAAUGGUACUGAGAUAGGUCCCAGACUCCAACGGGAGGCAGCAGUGGGGAAUAUUGCACACUGGGAGGAAGCCUGAUGCAGCAACGCCGCGUGCGGGAUGACGGCCUGAUGGUAGUAAACCGCUUUCGCUUGAGACGAAGCGUGAGUGACGGUAUUAUGUAAAGAAGCAACGGCUAACUACGUG